UUGCCGAGUAGCUGUGCCAUGGAGGCCCUGGAGUAGGGCACGACGAUCUCCAGGAGCUGCCAGAAGCGUGAGGCACGGGGGUUCGCGCCUUGGCGCAAGGAUGCCGGUCACAACAUUUUUACAAAGCAUGUAACAAUUUGUCGGUAGGAACCCAAGUAUAGCAUGUGCAGACAACCAAUUGUGUUAGAAGCAAAACAUAAUGAGACUGAAGAUGACAUCAGGUUAUAAGGCAGAAUCAAGCUCGGUGCUUUCAUACGACCAGAGAUAAAACACAGGACCAUACAUUACUUUGUAUGACUAAGAUAGGUAUUAAAAUCUAAAGUCUAUACAUGUCUUUUUUUGCGAUGGUAUACAUGUCUUUGUUCAGAGCACACCCUGACUAAUAAGACCACCACAUCUAGAAUAAAAACAGUAAAGAAUCCCAAGGCCAAAGCACACCCUGAACAUUAACUUGCAUAUUGUUGGCAGCAAAAAGUAGAACUACCAAAAUCAACCCAAUAACUAAUUAGGCCAAACACUAUAGGAGGCAAACAUGUUUAUAGCUAACAAUAGUUUGCAUUCAUAGGGACAGCCGAUCUCUAACUUAGUACCCUAUAUUGUACAACCAUGCAUCUCAUCUCAAAGACCAUUCAGGUUUAUUCAUGUCAUGCUUGAAAUAUAUAUAUCUGUUACUACAUGGACAAACAUUGGUAUGAGAGAGAAGAAAUCUUUACAUAAGAGACAGAAGAGUUCCUAACCAGACUAAAUCAAGGACCAACAAUGAACAAUAAAGGAUCAAGAAACAACUUAUAUGCAAUAAAGUUAUAAGUGAGAAUAAAUCUUUACACAAGACGGCUAUAAACACUGGAGCAUAAGUAAGCAACGCCUUUAAAUACAAAUAAAAAGGGCUUGAUGUUCAUUGCAUAGUGGGCUCAGAUUUGCCUUUCCUCGAUCAUAUAACCUACCCCCAUCAUCUCUUAUCACCAGAUCAAUCUGUUUAUACAAUGGAGCUGCCCUGGUUAUCAAUCAACAAGAAUGACCAUCCAAUGACAGAUCAAUAGGUAUCACAGGAUCAAAAAGGAUUCUAGAGACAACAGGGAGGAUCCAACUUGAUACCCACAGGUACCUCGAUUGCUCAAAGGCACACUUAUUUCAGCCACAGUUAAUCAUCAUCGCCCUAGCACGAACGCCACCGCCACAGACAAAGCAAAAUGACAAGAAUACCCUCGGCGGGACACCAAAAUAACGCGCGGUGGCACGAAACGGAGUGAAACUAUUCAUUCCAGCAGUGUUUGCCCCAGAUCCAACGGCCCAGCCUUCUCCAGAUCUCGAUCGGACGGACGAAAACGCAUCAAGGGGAAUGAUCC
Molecule: long non-coding RNA, 1346 nt
Filed under: Triticum aestivum (bread wheat)
Lineage: Eukaryota; Viridiplantae; Streptophyta; Magnoliopsida; Poales; Poaceae
Description: long non-coding RNA (TAES_LNC006229)
Source: RNAcentral